This 253-nucleotide ribosomal RNA is filed under the name uncultured bacterium. Its description in RNAcentral is "partial 16S ribosomal RNA". It matches the Rfam family "Bacterial small subunit ribosomal RNA", at positions 524 to 776 of the family's 1533-position model. The record is from RNAcentral.
UACGUAGGGUGCAAGCGUUAAUCGGAAUUACUGGGCGUAAAGCGUGCGCAGGCGGUUCGGAAAGAAAGGUGUGAAAUCCCAGGGCUUAACCUUGGAACUGCACUUUUAACUACCGGGCUAGAGUACGUCAGAGGGGGGUAGAAUUCCACGUGUAGCAGUGAAAUGCGUAGAGAUGUGGAGGAAUACCAAUGGCGAAGGCAGCCCCCUGGGUUAACACUGACGCUCAUGCACGAAAGCGUGGGGAGCAAACAGG